CAAACNACUCUCGGCAACGGAUAUCUCGGCUCACGCAUCGAUGAAGAACGUAGCAAAAUGCGAUACUUGGUGUGAAUUGCAGAAUCCCGUGAACCAUCGAGUUUUUGAACGCAAGUUGCGCCCGAAGCCAUUUGGUUGAGGGCACGUCUGCCUGGGCGUCACGC
Molecule: ribosomal RNA, 164 nt
Filed under: Chrysocephalum apiculatum
Lineage: Eukaryota; Viridiplantae; Streptophyta; Magnoliopsida; Asterales; Asteraceae
Description: 5.8S ribosomal RNA
Rfam family: 5.8S ribosomal RNA
About the family: 5.8S ribosomal RNA (5.8S rRNA) is a component of the large subunit of the eukaryotic ribosome. It is transcribed by RNA polymerase I as part of the 45S precursor that also contains 18S and 28S rRNA. Functionally, it is thought that 5.8S rRNA may be involved in ribosome translocation.
Source: RNAcentral